AAGGGGAGCAAUCCCUGAGUAAAAUGGCGACCGGGUGAGUAACACGUGACUAACCUACCCUCGAGUGUGGAAUAACAUCGGGAAACCGAUGCUAAUACCGCAUAACAUCGCAAGAUCAAAGGAGCAAUCCGCUUGAGGAGGGGGUCGCGGCUGAUUAGCUAGUUGGCGGGGUAACGGCCCACCAAGGCGAAGAUCGGUAGCCGGCCUGAGAGGGCGCACGGCCACACUGGAACUGAAACACGGUCCAGACUCCUACGGGAGGCAGCAGUGGGGAAUUUUGCGCAAUGGGGGAAACCCUGACGCAGCAACGCCGCGUGGAGGAUGAAGCCCCUUGGG
Molecule: ribosomal RNA, 336 nt
Filed under: uncultured bacterium
Lineage: Bacteria
Description: bacterial SSU rRNA
Rfam family: Bacterial small subunit ribosomal RNA
Source: RNAcentral